GUUAUGGGAUUGCUUCAAGUAGUAAUUUAUACAGCUGCAUCAAGAUUAGAAUGCCAUGCCCUAUCUGGACCGACAACAGCAAAAUCUGAAAAGCAAACUGUGAAUGAAGCUUCAGGUGAUAUUCAAAAAGAUCCUUCACUCGAACCAGAACCAGAAUCUAGUCAAGAAGAUAAGUUAACCAAUGCUGAGUUAUCCACUGAAGAUGGGAACAGGAGCUUUAGUACAAGCAAUGUAUUCCUCCAUCUGCCAUCACCUGAUUUGCGCAAUCUGUGCUGCCUUCUUGGUCGUGAGGGGUUGUCAGAUAAAGUUUAUAUGCUAGCUGGAGAAGUGCUGAAGAAGUUGGCCUCAGUUGUUGCAUCCCAUCGGAAGUUCUUCAGUUCAGAGC
RNAcentral lists this unclassified non-coding RNA (385 nucleotides) under Hevea brasiliensis (rubber tree). Lineage: Eukaryota; Viridiplantae; Streptophyta; Magnoliopsida; Malpighiales; Euphorbiaceae. The record is from RNAcentral.